AGUAUUUUGCACGACUUUUUGAACAAAAACAGACCAUAAAACUUAAUAUAAGUAAGCCUAAGAAGUAAGUUAUUAAAUAGUUAUUUCAUGGACAUGGAGUUAUAAGAAGCACAUCAUCUUGAAGCACAUAAUAUUAUGUCAAAUAUCCAUGUCAAAAUACUUCAUUUAAUUACCACAAAGAAAUCUAAUGUUGACAUUACCUGCAAAAAGUUCUCAUUCAAGAUAUUAACUGGGAAUAAACAUUUAAAUAAGCAGAUAAUCCAGCUUGGCCGCACUUCAAGUUACGAGAAAUAAAACCAAAGUAUAAAUCACUUAGAGGCGACACCGUGUCGACAUCGCUUAAGUGAGAUUUAUGCUUCUUGAGAUAAAUUGCUCCGAUUUGAUUCUCGGAUAUCCUGAUUUAAAUUCGAAGGUAAUUUAUGACAAAGUGCAACAAGAAAAUCCGGCAUUAUGGGUGCGUUCCAAGACAAUUACAGUGAACAGUUCAGACCACGAAGUGAUAAAUGCAAUCAGAGUUCUAGAUUUACGCCCGGAUAAAUGGGGAGAAGUUUAUUUGAAAAAAGGCGGGAUUGGCCAAAGGUCCGUAACUCUAGAAUUAAACAGUCCUAGCAUCUUCAGAGGUUAUAAUUUCCUGGUAGAAGUGUACGCUAUUCAGACCGGACAUUUUAUGAAUUAUCAUGGUAAAUAAAGUGGUGAUGUAA
This is a long non-coding RNA of Colias croceus (clouded yellow), 701 nucleotides long. RefSeq lists it as uncharacterized. The record is from RefSeq and is a predicted model, not a curated record. The transcript has 2 exons. NCBI's taxonomy places the organism in Eukaryota, Metazoa, Arthropoda, Insecta, Lepidoptera, Pieridae.